Molecule: ribosomal RNA, 1362 nt
Filed under: uncultured bacterium
Lineage: Bacteria
Description: 16S ribosomal RNA
Rfam family: Bacterial small subunit ribosomal RNA
Source: RNAcentral
GAUGAACGCUAGCGACAGGCUUAACACAUGCAAGUCGAGGGGCAGCAGGGGAGUAGCAAUACUCCCGCUGGCGACCGGCGCACGGGUGAGUAACACGUAUGCAACCUGCCCUUGUCAGGGGGAUAAGCGGAAGAAAUUCCGUCUAAUACCGCAUAACGCUGCGGGGAGACAUCUCCCUGCAGCCAAAGAUUUAUCGGACAAGGAUGGGCAUGCGGCGCAUUAGCUUGUUGGCGGGGUAACGGCCCACCAAGGCGACGAUGCGUAGGGGUUCUGAGAGGAAGGUCCCCCACACUGGUACUGAGACACGGACCAGACUCCUACGGGAGGCAGCAGUGAGGAAUAUUGGUCAAUGGCCGGGAGGCUGAACCAGCCAAGUCGCGUGAGGGAAGACGGUCCUAUGGAUUGUAAACCUCUUUUGUCAGGGAGCAAAAACUGCCACGCGUGGCAGGAUGAGAGUACCUGAAGAAAAAGCAUCGGCUAACUCCGUGCCAGCAGCCGCGGUAAUACGGAGGAUGCGAGCGUUAUCCGGAUUUAUUGGGUUUAAAGGGUGCGUAGGCGGACAGUUAAGUCAGCGGUAAAAUUGAGAGGCUCAACCUCUUCCCGCCGUUGAAACUGAUUGUCUUGAGUGGGCGAGAAGUAUGCGGAAUGCGUGGUGUAGCGGUGAAAUGCAUAGAUAUCACGCAGAACUCCGAUUGCGAAGGCAGCAUACCGGCGCCCAACUGACGCUGAAGCACGAAAGCGUGGGUAUCGAACAGGAUUAGAUACCCUGGUAGUCCACGCAGUAAACGAUGAAUACUAAUUGUUCGGGUCGAGUGAGAUCUGAGUGAUACAGCGAAAGCGUUAAGUAUUCCACCUGGGGAGUACGCCGGCAACGGUGAAACUCAAAGGGAUUGACGGGGGCCCGCACAAGCGGAGGAACAUGUGGUUUAAUUCGAUGAUACGCGAGGAACCUUACCCGGGCUCAAACGACACAGGAAUGAUCUGAGAAAUCAGGCAGUCCUUCGGGACCUGUGUCGAGGUGCUGCAUGGUUGUCGUCAGCUCGUGCCGUGAGGUGUCGGCUUAAGUGCCAUAACGAGCGCAACCCCCAUCGACAGUUGCCAGCAGGUCAAGCUGGGCACUCUGUCGAGACUGCCGGCGCAAGCUGUGAGGAAGGCGGGGAUGACGUCAAAUCAGCACGGCCCUUACGUCCGGGGCGACACACGUGUUACAAUGGCAGGUACAGCGGGAAGCCACCUGGCGACAGGGAGCGGAACCCGAAAGCCUGUCUCAGUUCGGAUUGGAGUCUGCAACUCGACUCCAUGAAGCUGGAUUCGCUAGUAAUCGCGCAUCAGCCACGGCGCGGUGAAUACGUUCCCGGGCCU